UUAAAUAACCACAAUACUAUUUUCAAUAAGUGCAGCACUAUUUAUUAUUUCUUCCUUCCCCAAUGCUUUUUGUGAUGUUGUCUUCAUUUGUAGGGAUUCUCUCUGAAGGAGGAAAGUGUAUCAGUCACCCAGAAAAGUUUUAAACCCACUUUGCAAGAUUCUUGCACAUCGAGAAUCUUGGGUUGCCCUCUGAUUUGUUUCUGCUUCUACCCUUUUGAGAGAUUAAUUUGGCAUGUAAUCUUCUCAUGUAUCAUUGAGGGUCUGCAUAGAGAUGUGAGCUCUGCUCCACUGAUAAGUUUAUCUUUGCAUGUGCUCCAUGCAGUGCCAUCAUUAGUAAAGGAUAAGAAUAAAAUUUAAUAUCUGUUAAAAGAAGUUUCCAUUCAUAUUUCAAAAAACUAGAAAAUAAUUAGCCUGUUAAUAUGUUUCUGCAGAAUCCAGGCUGCCUGUUGAGAAAACUCUAUUUCAUGCUGUUUUUC
RNAcentral lists this long non-coding RNA (476 nucleotides) under Bos taurus (domestic cattle). Its description in RNAcentral is "long non-coding RNA NONBTAT026833". The record is from RNAcentral. Lineage: Eukaryota; Metazoa; Chordata; Mammalia; Artiodactyla; Bovidae.